Long non-coding RNA from Bufo gargarizans (Asiatic toad), 1075 nucleotides. RefSeq lists it as uncharacterized. The record is from RefSeq and is a predicted model, not a curated record. Lineage: Eukaryota; Metazoa; Chordata; Amphibia; Anura; Bufonidae. The transcript is spliced from 3 exons.
GUGUGACGUCAUCGCAGGUCCUGCAGCCCCAGGAGGUGAGAUCUGCAGUAUUUAGGUUGGCGUUAGUGCACUUUUGAGUUGGAUUUUACGGAGACUACAACAUUACAAAGAACUACAUUUUUAUUCAAGAGUUGUCUUGGAUUGAGUUUGGCCAGAUUGAAAAUGCCAGCUUGCCUUAUAAAUCAUUGUCUGAGCAAAAGUGGAAAAAAGGGGCAAGAUGAGGACAUACAACUCCACCGUUUUCCGAAAGACCUUUCCAGGAUUACAUUGUGGUUGGAGAAUAUGAAUCAGUCUUUUGACAAUAUUCACAGUUUGGCUGAAAGAAUUUUGGAAGGAGCACUUAAAAGCAAAUAUAGAAUUUGCUCAUUGCAUUUUUCAGAUGAUUCAUAUAUUAUAGAUGCAAGAGGCAGAACUCUGAGAGCAGAUGCUGUUCCUACAAUAUUCCCACUGACCGAUGACGGUAAAAAAGUAAUACAGGAAAAUUUACAGAAGCUCCGCCCAUCGACACGAAAACGACAGUUAAAACAAUUGAACCCUGAGUUUGUCGUAGAAGAAAAUCUCUCCAGUGCACCAGAGGACGUAUCUGAAGACCCAACCGUUGUAAAAUUCUGCGAAAUUGGGACACAAACUGACUUGUCACUUUUGAACAUGCUUAUUACAAUAAAAAAUGGUGAGGCUAUCUGUCGGGAUCUUCACACCAAAAAUCAAACCCCUGGAAAGUACAUAACCAUUGACUAAUAAUAUAAAAAUUUUGUCUGAACAUGGGUGCAAGAAAUUAUCGCGCUACAAAUGUCAUUGUGUAGGACUAACCUAAUGCUGAAAUAAUAAAAGGACUUACAGAAUCAGGUGGUGCCGCGGUGGCUGCUUCCAUCCCCUCGAAGUCAGACAUGGUUUGGAUAUUAAUCCCUGAGAAAUCCUAGGUUGUACAAGGUUGAGAGUUACCAAAAAAUAAAUACAUUUCAAUAUACAUUUUGAGAUAUCCAGAUUUAAAUUAACCGUUUUUAAAUUUUAACAAAAUAGGCAAUUGUACUCAAAUCUUAUUUUUGUGUGCUUCAUCUUAGUAUGUCGACAUCAA